UAAUCUAUUUAUGACAAAUCCUUCUUUAGUUAUGGCGGAUCCAUACUUAUCUACUCAUAAUCUCUGUUAUCCCAAGCCCGGCUACAUUAGUGUAAUUGGAUUUUGUGAUUUUAAAAGAUUGUGUUUUCACUUGAGA
Non-coding RNA from Populus trichocarpa (black cottonwood), 136 nucleotides. The record is from Rfam. Lineage: Eukaryota; Viridiplantae; Streptophyta; Magnoliopsida; Malpighiales; Salicaceae.